This 430-nucleotide ribosomal RNA is filed under the name Deropeltis erythrocephala. RNAcentral describes it as "partial 16S ribosomal RNA". The record is from RNAcentral. Lineage: Eukaryota; Metazoa; Arthropoda; Insecta; Blattodea; Blattidae.
CUCUUCUUGUUUGAAAUAUGAAGUAUAACCUGCCCACUGAUUUGGUUUUGAAGGGCCGCGGUAUUUUGACCGUGCGAAGGUAGCAUAAUCAUUAGUUUUUUAAUUGAGGACUGGAAUGAAUGGUUGGACGAGAAAUAUACUGUUUCUUUUUAUUUAUUUGAAUUUAAAUUUUGAGUUAAAAAGCUUAAAUUUGUUUAUGGGACGAGAAGACCCUAUAGAGUUUUAUAUUUUAUAUAUAUUAAUUUGUUUGGUUUAUUUAUUUUAUAUAAUUUAUUUUGUUGGGGUGAUGAAAAAAUUUAAUUAACUUUUUUUAUUUAUAUAUAUUUAUUUAUAAUUAUUUGAUCCAUUUUUGUUGAUUGAAAGAUUAAAUUACCUUAGGGAUAACAGCGUUAUCUUUCUUGAAAGUUCAUAUUAAUAGAAGGGUUUGCGA